GGGAGACCGGGUACAAAAGUAACGGCGGGUCGAAAGUAACAAAUGCUCUCUAGAUUCAUCCAAUGGUCGAACAUAGCUUCGCCGCCGUCAGGCGAUAGCUGAAAGCGCCCCCCUCACUUGUAGUUAGUCGCCGUGUACUUAAAGCACUGUUAGGUUGUGUGAGAGGAUACUACGUGGUUUUACAAACCAAAAGUUAUAUUUCAUGUUUCAACAAAAAUGAGGAAGGGUACAAAAGUAACAUAGUCCUAUGGGUACACAAGUAACAAGUUACUUUUGUCCCCGUAAUGAUUUAAUUACCUUUACCCCAACAGAAUGCCGCGACAACGCAUAAGAACAACUACACGACACAUAAGUGUAUAGAAAAGCGGCGGAUAAUUUUUUUACUGAAAGGUGGCACGAUAGUCUGGAAAUGGCUGGUAAUGAAUGGUUGACGGUUUUUUAAAACGACACCCGAGCCUCUGUUUGAGAUCUCAGAGUUUCAACGAACAUAAUGUGAGCAAAGUUUUUGAUAAUCUUGCAGAGGUAAUUGAUAGGUACAAAUUUGAUCCAAAAGAUAUCUGGAAUAUGGAUGAGACAGGGGUCCACUGUCCAAACUUAGCACGAUUGUUGCUCAAAAAGGAACUGAACAAAUAGGUGCAGUAACCUCAGCAGAACGUGGAAGAUUAGUAACUGUUGCUGUUGCGAUUAAUGCUCAAGGAGGACACAUACCUCCUUUUUUCGUCUUCCCAUUGAAACAAUUCCAAGACCACAUGAUACUUGAGGGACCUGUUGGUUGUGCCGGAGCUGGCAAUGCCGGAUGGAUGCAGAAUGCAGAACUUUUACUUUUUACAUAAAUACUUGUUGAUAAUAAACAAGUAUUACAUA
Molecule: long non-coding RNA, 864 nt
Organism: Pieris napi
Lineage: Eukaryota; Metazoa; Arthropoda; Insecta; Lepidoptera; Pieridae
Exons: 2
Source: RefSeq, a predicted model, not a curated record